Molecule: ribosomal RNA, 301 nt
Filed under: uncultured bacterium
Lineage: Bacteria
Description: partial 16S ribosomal RNA
Rfam family: Bacterial small subunit ribosomal RNA
Source: RNAcentral
CAGCAGCCGCGGGAAUACGGAGGGUGCAAGCGUUAAUCGGAAUUACUGGGCGUAAAGCGCACGCAGGCGGUCUGACAAGUCAGAUGUGAAAUCCCCGGGCUUAACCUGGGAACUGCAUUUGAAACUGUCAGGCUGGAGUCUUGUAGAGGGGGGUGGAAUUCCAGGUGUAGCGGUGAAAUGCGUAGAGAUCUGGAGGAAUACCGGUGGCGAAGGCGGCCCCCUGGACAAAGACUGACGCUCAGGUGCGAAAGCGUGGGGAGCAAACAGGAUUAGAUACCCCUGUAGUCCCUGUCUCUUAUAA